This 406-nucleotide ribosomal RNA is filed under the name uncultured bacterium. RNAcentral describes it as "partial 16S ribosomal RNA". It matches the Rfam family "Bacterial small subunit ribosomal RNA", at positions 30 to 526 of the family's 1533-position model. The record is from RNAcentral.
AUUGAACGCUGGCGGCAGGCCUAACACAUGCAAGUCGAACGAGUGGCGGACGGGUGAGUAAUGUCUGGGAAACUGCCCGAUGGAGGGGGAUAACUACUGGAAACGGUAGCUAAUACCGCAUACCAUCGGAUGUGCCCAGAUGGGAUUAGCUAGUAGGUGGGGUAACGGCUCACCUAGGCGACGAUCCCUAGCUGAUCUGAGAGGAUGACCAGCGACACUGGAACUGCGACACGGUCCAUACUCCUACGGGAGGAAGCAGUGGGGAAUAUUGGACAAUGGGCGCAAGCCCGAUGCAGCCAUGCCCCGUGUAUGAAGAAGGCCUUCGGGUGGUAAAGUACUGUCAGCGAGGAGGCGUUACUCGCAGAAGAAGCACCGGCUAACACCGUGCCAGCAGCCGCGGUAAUAC